GACGAACGCUGGCGGCGUGCUUAACGCAUGCAAGUCGAACGGAAAGGCCCCUUCGGGGGUACUCGAGUGGCGAACGGGUGAGUAACACGUGAGUAACCUGCCCUUGACUUCGGGAUAACUUCAGGAAACUGGGGCUAAUACCGGAUAGGAAUCCUUGCUGCAUGGUGGGGGUUGGAAAGCUUCGGCGGUUUUGGAUGGACUCGCGGCUUAUCAGCUUGUUGGUGGGGUAGUGGCUUACCAAGGCUUUGACGGGUAGCCGGCCUGAGAGGGCGACCGGCCACAUUGGGACUGAGAUACGGCCCAGACUCCUACGGGAGGCAGCAGUGGGGAAUAUUGCACAAUGGGCGGAAGCCUGAUGCAGCAACGCCGCGGGCGGGAUGACGGCCUUCGGGUUGUAAACCGCUUUCAGCAGGGGCGAAGCUUGUGGUGACGGUACCUGCAGAAGAAGCACCGGCUAACUACGUG
Molecule: ribosomal RNA, 465 nt
Filed under: uncultured bacterium
Lineage: Bacteria
Description: partial 16S ribosomal RNA
Rfam family: Bacterial small subunit ribosomal RNA
Source: RNAcentral